Molecule: long non-coding RNA, 7874 nt
Filed under: Solanum lycopersicum (tomato)
Lineage: Eukaryota; Viridiplantae; Streptophyta; Magnoliopsida; Solanales; Solanaceae
Description: long non-coding RNA (SLYC_LNC000430)
Source: RNAcentral
UUUUAUAAACUAUGAGACUUUGGUCUUAUUUUCUUAAGGAAAAAGAAUAAAAAAAUGUUCUUAAAUUAUGCGAAAAGAACAAAACUACCCUCCAUUUGAAGUUUGAUCCAUUUCUUCUCAUCAUUAUUUUGGUUCAAAAAUGCUUUUAUUGAUAUUUUGGGUGAAAGUGCUCGUUUUUCAAAUAAAUAUAUUAUUUAUUAACACAUUUCUUUUUUAAUAAUAUUUUUUAAAAUUAGCAGAUGUUUAUCUUCGAUUAAAAAAAAACUAUUUUAUUAUAAUUAUUUGCUAUGGUUAAAUAGAUAUAAAUUAAUGAUAGAUUUACUAUGAUUUUAUACAUAUGACGUAUAUUAUUUGUCGAAAUGAUACGUGAAGUUAUUUUUAUUUUAAUUGAUAAGAUAAGAUUAAAGAGGAAAAAAUAUUUUCUACUUUUUUAUUUGUUAAAGUGAUUUUAAAAGAAAGAAAACAAGAUCAUAGUACUUUAAUAAUUUGAUAAAGAAGGAAAUAUGAUUAAAAAGAAAAAAAUUGUUAUAAAUCCAUUGAAUUGUGUGGAUUGUCCUUUAGAUUUACUCAAGACUUAAUUGUAUUCAUGUAUACCUGUUCCCAAGGUGAUAAGAAUCAUUUGGAUAACUAUGUACCUACAAAUUGGACAUUUAUCAUGGGGCCUUUGGGGUGAUAUCUCAACUCUAUAAAUAGAGAUAUCAUUCACCUUUUGUAAUACAUGCUUGAAUAAGAAAAUUAUCUCCUCUAUCUUAUACUUCUUGUCUUUUUCUUCUUAUAUUCUGAGCUUUCUUUACAACACGUUAUCAGCACGAAGUUGCUACUUGCAAAGAAAUCCCCAGUUGUCAGUUGGAUUCAAGAUGAGUAAUGGAGAUGUAUGCCUUCUUGAUAGUGCUACAACGCAUACAAUAUUAAAAGAAAAGAAAUACUUUUCUAAUUUGGUUAUGAAAAUGGCAUAUGUCAACACAAUAUCAGGUAGUACAAAAUUAAUUGAGGGCUCUGGAAGAGCGACCUUAUUACUACCUGGAGGGACAAUAUUAAGCAUUGAUAAUGCAUUAUAUUGUAGUAAGUCUCAAAGAAACUUAUUAAGUUUCAAAGUUAUUCGCCAAAAUGGCUAUCAUGUUGAGACGGCUAAUGAAGGAAAGGUUGAAUACCUUUACAUUACUACAAUUAAUGUUGAGAAGAAAAUUGUGCAUGAAAAAUUACCUGCAUUUUCUUCUGGGUUGUACUAUACAAGUAUAAGUAUAGUUGAAUCACAUGCCGUAGUAAACAAAAGGUUUACUAAUUUUAAUAAUUUUAUCAUUUGGCAUGACCGGUUGGGCCAUCCUAGAUUUAAUAUGAUGCGCAAAAUCAUUGAGAUUUCACAUGGACACACCUUAAAGAGCCCAAAUAUCCUUCAAUCAAAGGAAUUCUCUUGUGCUGCUUGUUCUCAAGGAAAGUUGAUCAUUAAACCAUCAACAGUUAAGGUUGGAAUUGAAUCCCCUGCGUUUCUGGAACGUAUACAGGGUGAUAUAUGUGGACCUAUUCAACCUGCAUGUGGAUCCUUUAAAUAUUAUAUGGUCUUGAUAGAUGCUUCUACAAGAUGGUCACAUGUGUGUUUAUUAUCAACUCGCAACAUGGCUUUUGCGAGAUUGCUGGCUCAAAUAAUAAGAUUGUAAGCACAAUUUCCAGACUAUACAAUAAAGGCAAUCCGUCUAGAUAAUGCUGGUGAGUUUACAUCUCAGGCAUUUAAUGAUUAUUGUAUGUCUACUGGUAUAACUGUUGAACAUCCAGUUGCGCAUGUUCACACUCAAAACGGUCUAGCAGAAUCAUUGAUUAAACGUCUGCAAUUGAUAGCUAGACCAUUACUAAUGAGAAAAAAGUUAUCUGUGUCUAUGUGGGGGCAUGCUAUUUUGCAUGCAGCAACACUUGUACGCAUAAGGCCAACCAAUUAUCAUGAAUUCUCCCCAUUACAAUUGACUUUUGGUCAAGAGCCAAACAUUUCCCAUCUUAGAGUUUUUGGAUGUGCGGUGUAUGUCCCAAUUGCUCCACCACAACGCACAAAGAUGGGACCGCAAAGAAGGUUGGGGAUAUAUGUUUGGUAUGAAUCUCCUUCAAUCAUAAAAUAUUUGGAGCCUAUGACUGGAGAUUUAUUUAAGGCAAGAUUUGCUGAUUGUCAUUUUGAUGAAUCAGCAUACCCAACAUUAGGGGGAGAACAUAAGUCAUUGGGAAAAGAGAUAGAUUGGAAUUCAUCAUCUCUAUCUCAUCUGGAUCCUCGAACAAACCAAUGUGAGCAAGAAGUUCAAAGAAUAAUUUAUUUGCAGAACAUUGCAAAUCAGCUACCAGAUGCAUUUACGAAUCUUUCAAGGAUUACUAAAUCGCAUAUUCCAGCUGUUAAUGCUCCAGUUCGAGUUGAUAUCCCGACGGGACAAAUUGUUAAGGCAAAUGAGUCUAGACCACAUUUGAAGCGUGGUAGAUCAAUUGGUUCCAAGGAUAAAAAUCCUCGAAAGAGAAAAGGAAUAAAUGAUCAAGAUGAUCAUGGGUUGAAAGAAAUUUCUCAAGAUGAGACCCAAGUCAUAACACAUGAUGAGGAGGAGGUUCGAACUUCUGAAAAUAAUGAAAUUUCAAUGAAUUAUGUCUCGACGAGAAAGUUGUGGAACCGAAAUAAUGUUGUGAUUGACAACAUAUUUGCCUAUAAUGUUGCUAUUGAAAUAAUGCAACAAGAUGAAGAUUUUGAGCCAAAAUCUGUUCACAAAUGUAGACAGAGAAAUGAUUGGCCAAAAUGGAAGGAUGCAAUUCAAGCUGAAUUGGCUUCACUAGAAAAACGUGAAGUUUUUGGACCAAUAAUCCGAACACCUGAAGGUAUCAAGCCAGUGGGGUACAAAUGGGUUUUUGUACGAAAAAGAAAUGAGAAAGGUGAAGUCAUGAGAUAUAAGGCCCGACUCGUUGCUCAAGGUUUUUCUCAAAGACCUGACAUUGAUUAUAUGGAGACAUAUUCUCCAGUGGUAGAUGCAAUCACCUUUAGAUAUCUCAUAAAUCUGGUAGUUCAUGAAAAACUUGAAAUGCGUCUAAUGGACGUUGUCACAGCCUAUCUAUAUGGCUCAUUGGACCACAACAUUUUCAUGAAAAUUCCUGAAGCAUUUAAAGUGUCUGAAACAUACAAAGAUUCAAGAGAAACUUGUUCAAUAAAGCUUCAGAAAUCUCUGUAUGGACUGAAACAAUCAGGAAGGAUGUGGUACAAUCGUUUGAGUGAAUAUUUGUUAAAGAAAGGGUACAAAAAUGACCCGAUUUGUCCCUGCAUUUUCAUUAAACGGUUGGGGUCUGAAUUUGUAAUAAUAGCUGUGUAUGUUGAUGAUUUGAACAUCAUUGGAACUCGUAAAGAGCUUUUAGAAGCUGUUGAGUGUCUGAAAAGAGAAUUUGAAAUGAAAGAUCUCGGGAAGACAAAAUUUUGUCUUGGUCUACAGAUUGAGAAUUUGUCAAAUGGAAUACUUGUUCAUCAAUCAACGUACACAGAAAAGAUACUAAAGCGUUUUUACAUGGAUAACUCACAUCCAUUGAGUACUCCAAUGGUGGUAAGAUCUCUUGACAUCAAUACAGAUCCAUUUCGACCUCAAGAGAAUGAUGAAGAGCUUCUUGGUGAUGAAACUCCUUAUCUUAGUGCGAUCGGGGCACUAAUGUACCUUGCUAACAAUACUCGACCAGAUAUCUGUUUUGCAGUAAGUCUACUGGCAAGAUUCAGUUACUCCCCAACAAAAAGACAUUGGAAUGGUGUUAAACACAUACUUCGAUAUCUUCGAGGGACCACAGACAUAGGUUUGUUCUAUUCCAAUGAAUCCAAAUCAGAACUAAUUGGUUACGCAGAUGCAGGGUAUUUAUCAGAUCCGCAUAAAGCUCGAUCACAAACAGGCUAUUUGUUUUCAUGUGGAGACACGGCAAUAUCUUGGCGAUCAAUGAAGCAAACAUUGGUAGCCACUUCUUCAAAUCAUGUAGAAAUAAUAGCCAUCCAUGAAGCAAGUCGAGAGUGCGUCUGGUUGAGAUCAAUGACCCAUCAUAUUCAGAAAAUGUGUGGUUUUUCUUUGAAAAAGAAUAUACCAACCACAAUGUACGAAGAUAAUGCUGCAUGUAUAGCUCAAUUGAAAGGAGGAUACAUCAAAGGAGACCGGACAAAGCAUAUCUCACCAAAGUUCUUUUUCACGCAUGAUCUUCAACAAAAUGGUGAGAUAGAAGUUCAACAAAUUCGUUCAAGUGAUAAUCUUGCUGAUUUAUUCAUUAAGGCAUUGCCAACAUCAACAUUUGAGAAGUUGAGAUAUAAGAUUGAAUGCGCCGUCUCCGAGAUAUCAAGUAAAGUUUUCAUCAGGGGGAGCGAAAUACGCGUUGUACUCUUUUCCUUAACUAUGGUUUUGUCCCAAGUUGGGUUUUCCUGGUAAGGUUUUUAAUGAGGCAACAUUCAAAGCGUAUUAUGAGAAAUGUGUACUCUUUUUCCUUCACUAGGCUUUUUCCCACUGGGUUUUUCCUAGUAAGGUUUUAACGAGGCACAUAAUCUAUGGACAUCCAAGGGGGAGUGUUAUAAAUACAUUGAAUUGUGUGGAUUGUCCUUUAGAUUUACUCAAGACUUAAUUGUAUUUAUGUAUACAUGUUCCCAAGGUGAUAAGAAUCAUUUGGAUAACUAUGUACCUACUAAUUGGACAUUUAUCAUGGGGGCCUUUGGGGUGAUAUCUAAACUCUAUAUAUAGAGAUAUCAUUCACCUUUUGUAAUACAUACUUGAAUAAGAAAAUUAUCUCCUCUAUCUUAUAUUUCUUGUCUUUUUCUUCUUAUAUUUUGAGCUUUCUUUACAACAAAAAUAUAUUUAUUCAAAAAAGAAUAUUUUUAAACCAUUUAAUAACUAUAAAAACAAUUUUGAACCAAACUAUUUAAAUUAAAAUAUUAACACCAAGAUAUUUUUAAAUCAAACUAUAAACGAUAGAAUAUUUUUACUCCAUCCACAUGGUGAGAGGACAUGUUUUUAUCAUAUUCUCUUUUUUUAAUAAUAAAUUUUUCAAAAAGAUACGUGUCACAUGCGUUAAAAAGAUUUUGCCCCACUUUCAUCAUUUAUACAGUCCGCUACGAUGUUAUUCGUAGAAGAAUUUAAUAGCCCCUCGUCCCACUUAGAAGGAGUAUACCAUACAUAUUUUUUAAUAUUCAAUUGCUGUGUAUACAACGUUUUUAAUAUUUAAUUUAUAAAUGAAAAAAUAUUUCAAAUUUAAUUUUUUUUAAAAACAAUAGAUGGAAGUGGUAUAAAAUUAAUCUUUUUAAAAAAACUUGAAGUAUUUUUAAAAACAAUUGGGAGGGUGGGGUGGGGGUAGGGGUAGAGGUAAAAACAACAUAAUAAAUAAUUUCUUUUUAAUGAAUUAAUUUUAAAAAUAUUUCAAUCAACUAAACACUGAGAAAUGAAAAAUAUUUUAUUUUCUACUAAAUACACCCUGAGUGAAUUAGUUUACUGCCUUAGAAUAUUUUAUAAGUGAAAAAAAUAAUUGAAGAGACGCAGAAAAAGAAAUAAAAAAUUCUCAAGUCAUCAACCAGAAUAUUCACGUUGUUCAUCCCCUUUGUUUCUACUAAAUUAGUUAUAAAUAAUAUUCAACCUCGCCAACCCUGCCGCCGCCGCCCAUACUAAGCUAUUUAUUUUUUAUUUGUCCAUAAUUUUGGAUAUCUUUUUUAAUAUACAAAACAUUUUCUUUUAGUUAGAGGGAUGCAAAAUUGUAUUAAUUAAAUUUCGUAUUAUAUCGAAAUAUUAUUGUUACUUAAUUAAAAAAACUCGUCUAUAAUGAAUUUUUGUACACCCUUUAAAAACAAUCAAUGCAAUUUAUAGAUUUAUUAUAUUGAUUGUUGUAGUUUCUUUAUUUAAUGGACUUAAAGUGAGUAGUAAAUGAUAUGAUAAUUUUAUCAACACUCCUAUUCCUAUAGUCCUAUUCAAUGUAAGUCAUUUAAAUUUUGAAAAAUGAAUAUAUUCAAUAGUAGCGAUAUAAUAAAUACAUGAUGAUAAAAUAUAAAUAAUUAAAUUCAUUGUAUAUGUGGAUGAUCCAUUAGAGUUAUCCAAUAAUUAAUUGGAUUCAUGUAUUAGCGUUUCCAAUGUGAUAAGAUAUCAAGGUGAUAUGAACCUUGAUGAUAACUAUGUAAAAUUUCAAGGUGACCUUUGACUAUGAUAUCUCAACACUAUAAAUCACCAUUGUAUGACAUAUUUGAAUAAGAAAAUUAUCUCCUCUAUCUUAUACUUCUUGUCUUAUCUUCUUAUAUUCUGAGCUUUCUUUACAACACGUUAUCAGCACGAAAUUGCUACUUGCAAAGGUAUUAUAUAAAUAUUUUUAUUUAAUUCACAUAUUCUCUCAUAAUUUUCAUUAUGUCGAAUUUAUCCAAACUGAGUUUGUGGCAUUAGAUAUUUCUGGAAAGAAUUAUCUUUCAUGGGUACUCGAUGCUGAGAUUCACUUGGCUGCUAAAGGUCUUGAUGUCACUAUUACUCAGGGAAAUGAAGCAUCGAGUCAAGAUAAGGCGAAGGCUAUGAUUUUCUUUCGUCAUCAUCUUGAUGAGGGCCAGAAGAUUGAAUAUCUGACGGUGAAAGAUCCACUUGAAUUGUGGACUGAUUUAAAGGGGAGACUACAAAAGAUGAGGACAUGUUGAAAAAGACACUUACUACUUUCCAUGCCUCAAAUGUGAUAUUGCAGCAGCAAAAUCGUGAAAAGAGUUUUUAGAAAUAUUCUGAACUAAACUCAUGUCUUUUGGCGGCUAAGCAACAUAAUGCUCUUUUAAUGAAAAAUCAUGAAGCUCGUCCCACUGGAGCUGCUCCAUUACCGGAGGCAAAUGUGGUGGAAGCACGUGAUCAAUCUGAAGUAAAAAGAGAUGAUCAUCGGGGAUAUAAUAAUGCACGGGGACGUGACAAAGAUAAAAGACGAUACACUAAUCGUCAAGGUGGUAGUCAUAAUAAAAGGGGGAACCACAUGAGUUCUCAAAAUAACCCCUCAAAAGGUAAUUGUCGUCGUUGUGGCAUGAAAUACCAUUGGAAGAAUGAAUGUCGCACACAUGAACAUUUUGUAAGGCUCUAUCAAAAUUCCUUAAAAAGAAAGUAAAUAAAAGUGGUGCUUCCUUUUCCAAUGCUCGAGCUGAGUCACAUAUGACUCUUAAAGAUGAUGAUAAGUCGGGAACAUCUCAGAAAUAUGAUAAGGAUGUUGAAGAAAAUUUGGCUUUAAAGGAUGAUGUUUUUGAUGGCAUUGGUGACAUUACUCAUAUGGAAGUUGAUGACUUCUUUGAAGAUCGAAACUGAUGUUUGAUCUUUUAGCUGGAGAAUGAAGUUUGUUAAUAUUUUACUUAUGUAUUUUUAAUUAUUAUGUUAUUCAUGUUGAAGUAUUUAAAUUUCCAUUGUUAAUUUUGUUUCUUCCUUCUUUUGAUGUUUUUUAUUUUAAUGAAAAUUAAUAGAAAUCCCCAGUUGUCAGUUGGAUUCAAGAUGAGUAAUAGAGAUGUAUGCCAUCUUGAUAGUGCUACAACGCAUACAAUAUUAAAAGAAAAGAAAUACUUUUCUAAUUUGGUUAUGAAAAUGGCAUAUGUCAACACAAUAUCAGGUAGUACAAAAUUAAUUGAGGGUUCUGGAAGAGCGACCUUAUUACUACCUGGAGGGACAAUAUUAAGCAUUGAUAAUGCAUUAUAUUGUAGUAAGUCUCAAAGAAACUUAUUAAGUUUCAAAGUUAUUCGCCAAAAUGGCUAUCAUGUUGAGACGACUAAUGAAGGAAAGGUUGAAUACCUUUACAUUACUACAAUUAAUGUAGAGAAGAAAAUUGUGCAUGAAAAAUUACCUGCAUUUUCUUUUGGGUUGUACUAUACAAGUAUAAUUACAGUUGAAUCACAUGCCAUAGUAAACAAAAGGUUUAGUAAU